Apus apus (common swift) is the source of this 1718-nucleotide long non-coding RNA. RefSeq lists it as uncharacterized. The record is from RefSeq and is a predicted model, not a curated record. The transcript is spliced from 2 exons. NCBI's taxonomy places the organism in Eukaryota, Metazoa, Chordata, Aves, Apodiformes, Apodidae.
UUACAAAGAACGUUCUUUUUCUCAGUCUGUCAAUUUGUUUCAUUUUUCUCAUUGUCUUUAGCUUUUUAAUUUCAGCAGUCUGCCUGGGAAUGCAGUGAGACUUACUGGCUUGUAUCUCUUGGGGCUUGCUACUGGCUACCUUGAGACGGACCUCUGAGAAGUUGGUGAUCUAGACUAUGAGAGCAGCAUUCUCAUGGCAAACAGCUUUUGUGCUGUCACAAAUCUCUCCAGCUUCAGUAAUUUCCAGUGUAGUUCACAUCAAACUUCUUGAAAAACUCCUGUGCAAAAUUCAAGUGUUUAGGCAAAACUUUGCCUGCAAGUUUUCUACAGAUGUCCCCUUUGUGUUACCUUGUCAGGGAAUGGAACAAACAGGUGUUGCCUGUUUUUUUUAAAUCCUUGGAAGCAAUCAUGAAGUUCAUAUGGCUAGUCGCAGUGCACUCACAAAGAUGUGCUUCCAUCUGUCAGAUGGUUGUCAAAAGAAACACCUUAAACCAGAAGUAACAUGUUUAGAUUAACUUUUACAAGGCACUUGUGUUUGACUGCAGCACCCUCUGAUACAAGACCGUACAAAGUGGAUUCAAAUCUGAAAUGUGUUUGCUCGUGAAAUAUCACACUAGAUUUCUGUGUUUCUGAUUUGAGGGUACUCUGAUUUUUCUCUUGUGUCCCUCGUGAGUUGGGUAACAGUGAUGACUCUGCUCAGCUCGGGAUGUAGUUUUGCAAAACACUGAAGCUGCACAGACUGCUGCCAGAAGGGGUGAUUAUAUCAGCCUCUUCCUCCACCCUGUGUUUGCCCCACCUUUUUCAUGUCAAAUUGGAUGAUCACAGGGCUGAGUGGUGAGCCAGGUCAGACUAUGAGUGCCCUGAUCCAUCAGACCACACAAUCUCCAGAUCAAGUUGCAGGGAGGUGGCAGGACUGGGAAGCCAGGGCUGGUGUGUAGUUUGCCCAUAGCUGUGAGUUUCCAAGUUGUACCCAGGCUAAUGGAGGUAUUCAGCUUGACAGAGUUUUUUUCUUGGCUCCCAGUAAAUAAACUUUUUUUAUGUAGGUGAAUUAAAUGUUGGGUUUGUGUGGGGAUCCUAGUGACUGGUACCUUAAAAGGAGACAUUUUCAACCUUUGCAAGAGGUGACUGAUUUGAUCCAGGCAGGCUGUAGGUGGGGUAAACACUCGUGUUUGGAGUAGUCAUGAGGCAACUCAGAAGGGGUUUUUCUGUUUGUUUUUGUCACAGAGGAGACAGAUGAGAAGUAGAAGAUAAUUCUGGAGUCAACAAUUUUUUUUUUAAGCUUUUCUUAAAAUCCGAAAAUACAUAAUUCUUCUACAUGGAGAAUUCCCUCAAGGUACUUUAAAAUACAACGCAGAGGAAGGAGCUACCUGAGUAAAACUAAAGGAGACAAAACCUAAACUAAGAAGAUAAGGGUCAGAACAGAGGCACAGUACUCCUGCAGACUGCCACUGUUGCUGGAAGAGCCAGUUUGAUCUGCUGUGAUCCAGAGGGAACAUGCUGCUGUGGAAGUGCCAGAGCUUUCAAGAGGUCUGUCACUUGAAGGGCAGCGGUUUGGAGGUCAGACUGUUGUGGGGAGCAUGGGCCAUAAUAAAGCACCUUUAUUUUCGUCUUACCUCCAGAAAGAGGAAAUCUGGGGUCUCUUGCAAAUGCAACACAUGGCUUCAGUGAUACAGAGUUCCCUUUGUAUACUAGACAAGUAUAAAACGUUUUACUCCUGC